AUCUUCCGCAAUGGACGAAAGUCUGACGGAGCGACGCCGCGUGCGGGAUGAAGGCCCUUGGGUUGUAAACCGCUGUCAGAGGGGAUGAAAUCUCCGGAGGUUCUCCUCCGGAGUUGACAGAGCCUCAGAGGAAGCACGGGCUAAGUAUGUGCCAGCAGCCGCGGUAAUACAUACUGUGCGAACGUUAUUCGGAAUCACUGGGCUUAAAGGGUGCGUAGGCGGUGGUUCAAGUCAGAUGUGAAAUGCCAGAGCUCAACUGAGGCAUUGCGUUUGAAACUGGAUCGCUUGAGUAUCCCAGGGGUGUGCGGAACUGCCAGUGGAGCGGUGAAAUGUGUUGAUAUUGGCAGGAACACCGGAGGCGAAAGCGGCACACUGGGGGAUAACUGACGCUGAGGCACGAAAGCCAGGGUAGCGAACGGGAUUAGAUACCCCGGUAGUCCUGGCUGUAAACGAUGAGCACUGGGCGGGAGGAAGUUCGCUUCUUCCUGCCGUAGCGAAAGCGUUAAGUGCUCCGCCUGGGGAGUAUGGUCGCAAGGCUGAAACUCAAAGGAA
Molecule: ribosomal RNA, 552 nt
Filed under: uncultured bacterium
Lineage: Bacteria
Description: bacterial SSU rRNA
Rfam family: Bacterial small subunit ribosomal RNA
Source: RNAcentral